AAUGGACGAAAGUCUGACGGAGCGACGCCGCGUGGAUGAUGAAGGCCGAAAGGUUGUAAAAUCCUUUUGUUGGGGAAGAAUAAGCAUGGGAGGUAAUGCCCGUGUGAUGACAUGAACCGACGAAUAAGCCCCGGCUAACUACGUGCCAGCAGCCGCGGUAACACGUAGGGGGCGAGCGUUGUUCGGAAUUACUGGGCGUAAAGGGCAUGUAGGCGGCUCUGUAUGCUUGGCGUGAAAGUCAUCGGCUCAACCGAUGGAUUGCGUCGAGAACAGCAGGGCUUGAAUCACGGAGAGGGAGCUAGAAUUCCAGGUGUAGGGGUGAAAUCUGUAGAUAUCUGGAAGAAUACCAGUGGCGAAGGCGAGCUUCUGGCCGAUGAUUGACGCUGAGGUGCGAAAGUGUGGGGAUCAAA
Molecule: ribosomal RNA, 410 nt
Filed under: uncultured bacterium
Lineage: Bacteria
Description: bacterial SSU rRNA
Rfam family: Bacterial small subunit ribosomal RNA
Source: RNAcentral